AAUCAACGCUGGCGGCGCGCUUAACACAUGCAAGUCGAGCGAGAAAGGGGAGCAAUCCCUGAGUACAGCGGCGUACGGGUGAGUAACACGUGGGUGAUCUACCUUCUAGUGUGGAAUAACCCUGGGAAACCGGGGCUAAUACCGCAUAAGCCUGUGAAGGGAAAGCAGCAAUGCGCUGGAAGAGGAGCCCGCGGCCGAUUAGCUAGUUGGUGAGGUAACGGCCCACCAAGGCGAUGAUCGGUAGCCGGCCUGAGAGGGCACACGGCCACACUGGCACUGAAACACGGGCCAGACUCCUACGGGAGGCAGCAGUGGGGAAUCUUGCACAAUGGAGGCAACUCUGAUGCAGCGACGCCGCGUGAGCGAUGAAG
Molecule: ribosomal RNA, 371 nt
Filed under: uncultured bacterium
Lineage: Bacteria
Description: bacterial SSU rRNA
Rfam family: Bacterial small subunit ribosomal RNA
Source: RNAcentral